RNAcentral lists this ribosomal RNA (253 nucleotides) under uncultured bacterium. RNAcentral describes it as "partial 16S ribosomal RNA". It matches the Rfam family "Bacterial small subunit ribosomal RNA", at positions 524 to 776 of the family's 1533-position model. The record is from RNAcentral.
UACGUAGGCAGCGAGCGUUGUUCGGAGUUACUGGGCGUAAAGGGUGUGUAGGCGGUUUUCUAAGUUUGGUGUGAAAUCUCCCGGCUCAACCGGGAGGGUGCGCCGAAAACUGGGAGACUAGAGUGCGGGAUGGGAGAGUAGAAUUCCUGGUGUAGCGGUGAAAUGCGUAGAUAUCAGGAGGAAUCCCGGGGGUGUAGACGGCUCUCUGGACCGCCACUGACGCUGAGACACGAAAGCGUGGGUAGCAAACAGG